Bufo bufo (common toad) is the source of this 4119-nucleotide long non-coding RNA. RefSeq lists it as uncharacterized. NCBI's taxonomy places the organism in Eukaryota, Metazoa, Chordata, Amphibia, Anura, Bufonidae. The record is from RefSeq and is a predicted model, not a curated record. The transcript has 2 exons.
UGAUAGGCAGGGGUGCUCAGUGGCACGCUCCCGCCGAUCAGAUAGUGAUAACCUAUUCUGAGGACUGGCCAUCACUUAACCUCUUUAAAGCUGUGCUGUGAUUGGUUGCUCCGGAGCAACCAAUUAUUAUUAUUUUUUCUUCUAGACAGUUUUCAUAAAUCUCCUCUAUAGUUUUUUCCUAAAUGGCUGAAAACCCUUAUCCACUGUGCCGCUGGCAGACCAGGAAGUCUGAGAAAAAGACCUUAAGGAGGUGGUGAGAUGACAUGUAUAUGGCCACUUAAGGGCAGCAUUCACAAGCAUAUGACAUAAUAAAUGUUAAGAGCCAACAAGGCAUACAAAAGGUUUACCCACCUCAGCUUUCAGUAGUAUGUGGCUGCGAGCAUGCACUUCAUAAUUUCUUGUAGGUUUCAUGCACACAACCAUAUUUAUUUUGCGGUAUGCAAAACACGGAUGACGGCCAUGUUGCAUCUGUUUUUAUUUUUUAUUUUGCUGACCCAUUGACUUCAAUGCAGUCCAUUUUGGGGCCAAGAAUAGGACAUGUUCCAUCUGUUCUGGAAAGGACAUACAGAUGUGGAAAGCCCAAGGAUCAUCCAUGUGCUUUUCACAUCAGUACGUCCAUUCCGCAAAAAGAUAUAAACGUGUCCAAUACUUGACUGCAAAAUGCAGUCUGUGGACCACUUUGAUGUCAAUAGGUCCACCUAAAAAAAAAAAAAAAAAAAAGUAGCACAGAUGUCUUUGCGGGCCGCAAAAUACAUACGAUCGUCUGCACAGGUCCUCAAAGGAACACUUGAUGUUAUAUCUAGUGCAGGGAUUCUCUGGUGUUCUUUGCAUCCUUGUGUUAUGUGACGCCCCCCGAUGCCCUGCACUAGACAUUACACAGUGCAUAUGUUUUGCCCUGAAGGUUCCUUUAAACAAGAUGGUGCAAGAAGCCAUUUGCGUCACUUUAAAGCAGAUCUGUCAGAUUAAUAUUCUGCCAUAUGUGUUUUCAGCAUAUUACAAAAGCAGGUUUGUACUACUAGAAGCUCAUGAGGAAAGCGCUCCCUCUCUGUAGUCACCGACAGGCUAUUGUGUACAGGAGCAUGUGGGUUAAUGGUAUGAGGGGCAGGCGAAGGGCUUCCCCUAUGAAUACACUGGACCCAAACUAUAUGGUAUGUCCAAUGUAUGCUUUCAGAGCUUCAUGUAGCCAAAUGGCAGAGUAUAAACCUAUAGCUGUAAUAUGCUGCCCUAAAAAGCUGGAGAGGUAUUCUAGGAUAUUAAUAUUGAUGUCCUAUACUCAGGACAGGCUAUCAAUAUCUGAUCAGCAGAGGGUCUGACAUCCCAUACGGCCAGCGCUCUGGAUUUACACAGCUUCAUCCACUGUAUCUUGCACUUAGAUGGGUUACUGCAGCAUCUAAAGUAUGUCCAUUACACAAUGGAUGUAGGUGUGUAGUACCGUCACUGACUUCUGGCGCUAGUCGGGAACAGCCGAUUGUGGGGGUAUCAGACCCCCGCUGAUCAACUAUUGACAGCCUAUUUUGUGGAUAGGCUAUCAAUAUUAAAAUCCUAUAAUUCCCCUCAACUGUGAGUAUUAUAAUCAGAAAUAUCCAAUAUUACAUCAUAUUUAGUGUUUGCCCUCUGAACGCCUGGCACCAUAAAUGUAUGAACUCAAAAGUAAAGUCUUAAAAUCUUUUUUUUUUUGCCAUGGGCCAGAUAAACAACAUGGUAACUAAUUAAACCAGUUUUAAUUCUGUUAACAUGAGGACCUCGUAUAAGCCAUGCACAGCGUCAACGGUAUAAGAAUAUAUUAUUGCACCAUAAAAAGCCUACAUUGGGGGUAUCUAGUUGGGCUCCCAACACUGCCCCUAUUGAAAUGUGUCUUGUUAAGCCGUUAUCACAGCAUAAUUAUCCCUUGUGUAAACAUGCAUUCAUUUACAUGACAAAGUACGAACAUUACUAUUCCCUUUACAAAACUAUGUAUUGCUAUAUCUGAUGCUCUCCCAGUUCCCCUUCUGGAUUUCAUUAAGUGUCGUCAGCAGUUAUCUAGAUAAUUUUAAGGCUUAGGAUUGUGGAAGCACUGUCAUCAUCUCUUUACAGGUCUUGGCUACACAGCAGACAUCUUAAACAGAGUACACAGUAAUGAGACAGGGGCGUAGCAGACAGAUUUUACUAUAUGCCUUGGAUAUCGUUUUUUCACCAGUUUUCCCCUUUACAGGCUCUCAGUAUUUCCUGAGCUGAGCUCCAGAGUGGUGGAGAAUAGCUGCUCUGGUGUCUCAUAUGCAGCAUGCACAGAAAAGGGAAGAACUUGCUCAGAAGCAGAAGCCAUAUGGAGGACAUUACAUAUUAGUACUGAGCAGUGUAGCUGUGAAUCCAGCACUGAGGCGAGACUGAAAACCUACUGAAGCUAGCAGUACAAUCUGUCUCACUCUGCAGCUGCUCCCUCUCCAUAGACGUCUACAGAAACAUGUAACCUGAUCCCUCAUUUAUCUAGGUUAAUAUAACAGAACAGAGAAAUGAGUCCUGGAGGAUCGCUCUGAAGCUGGAGAAGGGCAUUCACGGGAAAAUCAAAACCCCUUGGAGCCCAUCAAAAACUCCAGGCCUGUAAUUUGACGGCAGAAGCUUCUGUACUAUGGCCGACUGUUUUAGUGAGAGCAUUUACAAGUAUUUCCAGGAUAUGUUAGCCUCACACUAGAGGCGCACAUGGGAUUAUUAGCAUGAAUAGGACAUGUAACAUGCAUCUCCACAGACCCAUCUGUUAAGGUUCUCAAGUUUUCAGAUGACACAACAGUAGCUGGUCUCAUACAAAAUGGGGAUGAGUCUGCAUAUAGGCAUGAAGUGGCCUUCCUCCUGGUGCAGCAACAACAACAACAACAACAACAACAACAACUUGUAACUUAAUGCUCUUAAGACCAUGGAGAUGAUAAUAGACUUUAGGAGAUCUCCCCCUCCCCCAGCACCUCCCCCUAAUCAUAAAUGGAUCUACAGUAACCCAAGUAGAGUCAUUCAAGUUUCUUGGGACCACAAUUUCCAACAACCUAAAAUGGAACAACAAUACUGUCACUAUCAUCAAGAAAGCGCAACAGAGGAUGUACCACCUACGGCAGCUGAAAAAGUUUGGCCUACCACAAAAAUUUAUGGUGCAGUUCUACACCGCGAUCAUCUAAUCCAUCAUGACCUCAUCUAUGACUGUAUGGUUCGGCUCCUGCUCAGUAUUAAAAAAGGUGAGACUGCAGCGCAUCAUCCGAACAGCGGAAAGGAUAAUUGGCUGUAGCUUACCUUCCCUGCAGGAUCUUCACGCUAGCAGGUGUAGAAAGAGAGCUGGUAAGAUUGCCCCAAACCCCUCUCACCCCGCUCACUCCAUCUUCCAGCCUAAGCCUUCAGGAGUGAGACACCGUUCAGUGGCUACUAAAACUUCCAGGCACAGGAACAGCUUUUUCCCUCAGGCAGUUGCCUUGCUUAAUGCACAACCACUAAAGCUGCUAUGACUUGAAAGCAUUACAGCAUAGAACUGAAAACGAACACUUCUCCCUGUUUGUUGCCACUAAAACUUACAUAUUGUCCUUGUCCUGCACUAUCCCUACUGUCUGUCCUUGUACUGUUUUGUUUGUGUCUGUCAAGCAACUGCCAAGUCAAAUUCCUUGCAAACUUAUUUAGCCAAAUAAAUUGAUUCCGAUUCUAAAAUAUUAGACAAAUACAACUGGAUAUUUAAAGAAUCUGACCAAACAAAGACAAUGUGGAUCGGAGACGAGGAAUGAAAACCUAUGAAACACCAGCUUACCGCUCGAAGACGAUGAGCUUGACGUUGCUUUUUCAAACUCAAGAUCUUACUAUCCAAUUAAGGUAAUAGGUUUUCCUGCUUUUAGGUUUAUCAACCAAUUUAGGAUCUUCUAAAUGAAUUGCUUAGAUGUUGAAGCACUUACAGAUAGACUAUUAGUUGGGUUCAAAGGUGACAAAACCAAUACCAUAUAAGAGAGACUAUGAAAUUCUACACUCAUUUCCAAUGAAUAUCUCUAGUUAACGCCAUAAGGGUAUGUUCACAUGCUGCAGAAAUAUUUGAUUGGGAUCUAAACAACCUCGUUCAGAGGGAUGGAACAGAUUUCUGCAACAAAUUUACCAGGUGUUUCAAGGCAACACAAUAAAAAA